GAUGAACGCUGGCGGCGUGCCUAAUACAUGCAAGUCGAGCGAACAGACGAGGAGCUUGCGCCUCUGACGUUAGCGGCGGACGGGUGAGUAACACGUGGAUAACCUACCUAUAAGACUGGUAUAACUUCGGGAAACCGGAGCUAAUACCGGAUAAUAUAUUGAACCGCAUGGUUCAAUAGUGAAAGACGGUUGUGCUGUCACUUAUAGAUGGAUCCGCGCCGCAUUAGCUAGUUGGUAAGGUAACGGCUUACCAAGGCAACGAUGCGUAGGCGACCUGAGAGAGUGAUCGGCCACCCUAGAACUGAGACACGGACCAGACUACUACGGGAGGCAGCAGUAGGGAAUCUUCCGCAAUGGGCGAAAGCCUGACGGAGCAACGCCGCGUGAGAGAUGAAGGUCUUCGGAUCGUAAAACUCUGUUAUUAGGGAAGAACAAAUGUGUAAGUAAAUAUGCACGUCUUGACGGUACCUAAUCAGAAAGCCACGGCUAACUACGUG
Molecule: ribosomal RNA, 497 nt
Filed under: uncultured bacterium
Lineage: Bacteria
Description: partial 16S ribosomal RNA
Rfam family: Bacterial small subunit ribosomal RNA
Source: RNAcentral